AGUGAACGCUGGCGGUAGGCCUAACACAUGCAAGUCGAACGGCAGCACAGUAAUAGCUUGCUCUUACGGGUGGCGAGUGGCGGACGGGUGAGAAGUACAUCGGAAUCUACUUUUUCGUGGGGGAUAACGUAGGGAAACUUACGCUAAUACCGCAUACGACCUACGGGUGAAAGCAGGGGAUCUUCCGACCUUGCGCGAUUGAAUGAGCCGAUGUCGGAUUAGCUAGUUGGCGGGGUAAAGGCCCACCAAGGCGACGAUCCGUAGCUGGUCUGAGAGGAUGAUCAGCCACACUGGAACUGAGACACGGUCCAGACUCCUACGGGAGGCAGCAGUGGGGAAUAUUGGACAAUGGGCGCAAGCCUGAUCCAGCCAUACCGCGUGGGUGAAGAAGGCCUUCGGGUUGUAAAGCCCUUUUGUUGGGAAAGAAAAGCAGCAGGUUAAUACCCCGCUGUUCUGACGGUACCCAAAGAAUAAGCACCGGCUAACUUCGUG
RNAcentral lists this ribosomal RNA (492 nucleotides) under uncultured bacterium. RNAcentral's name for it is "partial 16S ribosomal RNA". It matches the Rfam family "Bacterial small subunit ribosomal RNA", at positions 29 to 507 of the family's 1533-position model. The record is from RNAcentral.